Molecule: long non-coding RNA, 923 nt
Organism: Fundulus heteroclitus (mummichog)
Lineage: Eukaryota; Metazoa; Chordata; Actinopteri; Cyprinodontiformes; Fundulidae
Exons: 4
Source: RefSeq, a predicted model, not a curated record
ACUGAAAAAAAUGACUUUUUGGUGUAGUAAACUCUAUUACAGUAUUCGUCUUAAUUUCUACUUUGUAUUUUUAAGUUUCUGUAAGAACUAGAAUUUCUGAAGUAAAAUUAAACCUUUUUUUUAAGUAAUACAUGAAUUUUGGAGAAAGAGUAAGUUUUACUUAGAUUUCCUUAAACUAUUUAAAUGCUUAAUAGUAGUAUGAACAUAAACCUACAAAUACUGCAUAAACUUUACUCAAAAAAUGUUGCGUUUCGAAACGGUCGCAAGCGCAUGCGCACUGUAGCUCACAGCAGGACCGCUUCUGCUCCGAGUCCGACUAAAGACGUUACAGGAUCACACACAGAGCAAGAGGUGGUCCCGACGACAGUCAUUCUUCAGGAAGCAAAUCACAUAAAAACAUUAUCCUCAUUAUUCAGGGUGUCCUUUGGAGGAGCCAGUGGACUUUGUAGACGGUUGGACUUGAGGUCUAGGGAGAGGAGGUAGAGGAGGAACCGUUAUUCGCAGCCUUAUACUGUACCCUGGGGAGAAGGAGGAGGAACUUAUUGAAGACUGCUUGGAGGACAGCUGGAGUGACGUCAAUAAACAUAUCCUGAAAAUACAUGUUCUCCACGGUGCUGAUGAGGAUCCAGUUGAUGUCUCCAUCCUUGAAGGCCUGGAGAUUUUGGCAGCAUUCAACAGUACUGCAAAAGCCUGCUCGCUCCUCCUGGGACUGAAAUAUGCCCUGAACUUGGCAUACCCUCCACUGAUCUCUAUUUAUUCACUGGAUUGCUGAUUCGCCGUUGUUAGUACACAUCUCUAUGAAGCCACCAGCCGCCAUAUUGGUACUCCUUAUUUUCCCCCAGUAACUUGGGAAUAUGUGCUCUACAGCAUUAAAUAACGAGGAUUUUCUCAUGUUCAGGGGAGGCUUAAAACGUUUAAAAUGU